GACGAACCGAGCGAACGUUGUUCGGAAUCAUUGGGCUUAAAGGGCGCGUAGGCGGCCGGCCGCGUCCGGGGUGAAAUCCCGCGGCUCAACCGCGGAACGGCCCCGGGUACGGGUCGGCUCGAGGGGGGUAGGGGCCCGCGGAACGGUGGGUGGAGCGGUGAAAUGCGUUGAGAUCCACCGGAACUCCGGCGGCGAAGGCGGCGGGCUGGACCCUUCCUGACGCUGAGGCGCGAAAGCCAGGGGAGCGAACGGG
This 253-nucleotide ribosomal RNA is filed under the name uncultured bacterium. RNAcentral describes it as "partial 16S ribosomal RNA". It matches the Rfam family "Bacterial small subunit ribosomal RNA", at positions 524 to 776 of the family's 1533-position model. The record is from RNAcentral.